UACGUAGGGGGCUAGCGUUGUCCGGAUUUAUUGGGCGUAAAGAGCGUGUAGGCGGCCAGGUAGGUCUGCUGUGAAAACUCGAGGCUCAACCUCGAGACGUCGGCGGAAACCAUCUGGCUAGAGUCCGGAAGAGGAGAGUGGAAUUCCUGGUGUAGCGGUGAAAUGCGCAGAUAUCAGGAAGAACACCCGUGGCGAAGGCGGCUCUCUGGGACGCAACUGACGCUGAGACGCGAAAGCGUGGGGAGCAAACAGG
RNAcentral lists this ribosomal RNA (253 nucleotides) under uncultured bacterium. Its description in RNAcentral is "partial 16S ribosomal RNA". It matches the Rfam family "Bacterial small subunit ribosomal RNA", at positions 524 to 776 of the family's 1533-position model. The record is from RNAcentral.